RNAcentral lists this microRNA (22 nucleotides) under Heligmosomoides polygyrus. RNAcentral's name for it is "hpo-miR-10048-3p". Lineage: Eukaryota; Metazoa; Nematoda; Chromadorea; Rhabditida; Heligmosomidae. The record is from miRBase by way of RNAcentral.
UCCUGUCCGUGCCACCUUGCGC